Molecule: long non-coding RNA, 867 nt
Organism: Glycine soja
Lineage: Eukaryota; Viridiplantae; Streptophyta; Magnoliopsida; Fabales; Fabaceae
Exons: 5
Source: RefSeq, a predicted model, not a curated record
AUGUGGCUCAACCACCGUGAUAUAUAUUGAAAGCCUUGAAACUAUGUUUUCUGAAAUUGAGAUUUGAGACAAUGAAGAGUUCCGAUGAGAUGCACAACAAAAUUGUAAUGAUGAAACAAUCUUUCUUCGAUGAGGGAUUUCUGAUUCCAACCCAGUUUCAAGAGCUGGAGCUGCUACAAGACAGGGACAAUAUGAACUUUGUUAGGGAUCGAUGUUUUUUAUUUGUUCUUCUCGGACAUGACAAGACAGUUUGAGGAUCGAAAUUGAGCAAAUUCUUCGAGAAGAAAUUUAUGGUAAGCCAAGGAAAGACAUGAAUAGGUUACUUCAAGGACUCAAGGGAAUUUGUGGUACCUAUUUUUCUUCGAUCUCCAUCCCCAAGACCCCAAUUGAUCGAUGAUCUCCAAAAUAUAUAUAUUUUCUCGACUUCAAAUUAAGCAUCAUAAAUAUUGUCGUGUUUUCAGCAUUGGUGCUCUCAAGAUUUUGAACGGAGUCAAUAAGAUUAUACAACUUUUCCAGAAAGGCAACGUGGAAGGGAUCAUGCAUGCUUUUGAACAGGUGAAGAUGGAGACUGUAAAUCUUAGGGCGAAAUUGAGCCUUACUUUCAGUUGCUGGAGUACUCCCAAGCUCCCAAUGAAUUGAAGGUUUUGUACGUAGCAGUGCAUGCAUGAGGAUGGUUGGUGCUGCAUGCAGUUGAAGUGCUAGUGAUCACCAACAAUUUUGAUGUGGUCCUCUUAAUUAGCUUCCCCACCAAUUUAAUUAAAUUAGACUUAUCUGAAAAUUUUGUUUGUGAUUUUUAAUUAACAGUUGUUGCCUUUGUCUCUGUAACAAACAAAAAUCCGGUACGUUAUUGCUUGUGUGCUCAUAUCA